UUUAUAAUUAAAAAUUGAGACCUAAAAGAAGUUUGCUAUUUUUCAUGUCUAAAGAUGAAACCCUCAAAGGUACGCGAUUAAAUACGACUCUGUUAUACUUAAUGGUACGUUAGUAGUGUGUUAAAGUCACUCGCUCUAGAGAAAUGGAAAAUAUUUUAUAAAAAGUUGAAAUAGAUUUAAACCAAGAAUGAUAGCAAGGCGUAUCUAUAUAAGGAGCUUUUUCAUGGCAGAACUACACUCGGAGGUUUACCAUUGCCUGCCGAGGGGCGACCGCUAUUAGAAAAAUGUUUUUCUUAAUUUGGCGUUUCACCGAGAUUCGAACCUACGUUCUCUCUGUGAAUUCCGAACGGUAGUCACGCACCAACUUAUUCGGCUACGGCGGCCCCCGUAAUUAACAACUAGGAUUAUUAUUUACUCCUGAGCAAGAAAUUACAGCAUUCACAAUAACAAAGUGUUAAAUUUUGUUAUUAAAUGGAAAUGGAGAGCAGACUGAAUUAUGCCUGCGGAUCAUCAUCAUCAUCAAUUUGUGUGUCUGCGUUGUGGUGAUGUGUAUGUAAAUGCAAGUAAGGGAAUACUUAUCUCUGCAACACCUGCUAUGAGGAUCAAUCAACCUCGUUCCCACGUCAGUCGGUUCUAUGUAACCGGAACGACCCGGAUUUACAAUAUAUCCGGCCAAGGACUGUCACUUUAGCAGCAUUCCUCGCAUAUGCAUAAAGUGACUAUGUAAACACAAAAUAAAAUGGUAAUCUUAAAAUACAAAAGAAGCAAAUAAUUUCUUUCUGAACAGAAUGACUAUGAAGUUUUCGGAUAACUGUAUAAAUUACAUUUAUUCUUUACUACAUAAAGCUAGCAUUAUAACGAAAUAACUAAAUAUAUAUAUAUAUAUACACAUAUGUACCAAAUAGAUACGUAGUUAUGAGGAGAACACAUAUGUAUAUACAUUGCUUUGCUAAUUUACAAAUUAAAAGUGGAUAUGUUCGGAAAUACGUACAUUAAAUUUGUUUAUUUCAAACUAAUAACUA
This is a long non-coding RNA of Anastrepha ludens (Mexican fruit fly), 1022 nucleotides long. RefSeq lists it as uncharacterized. NCBI's taxonomy places the organism in Eukaryota, Metazoa, Arthropoda, Insecta, Diptera, Tephritidae. The record is from RefSeq and is a predicted model, not a curated record. The transcript is spliced from 3 exons.